AUGGGGAAGGUGAGCAUGCCGCGGCUCGCGCUGGCGGCCCUGGUGCUGGCGAGCCUCGUGCUGUCGGCCCAGGAGGCCGACGGGGCACGGCCCGCGUCGACCGACGGCGUCAUCAGCUACAGCGCUCUCCUGCGCGGGAACAGCGCCAACACCUCCGACGCCAGCGUCCGGCCUUCUGCGGUGGCCAACCCUUACACGCGCGGCUGCAGCAAGCUCAACCGUUGCCGCGGUUGA
Molecule: ribosomal RNA, 234 nt
Filed under: Triticum aestivum (bread wheat)
Lineage: Eukaryota; Viridiplantae; Streptophyta; Magnoliopsida; Poales; Poaceae
Description: partial small subunit ribosomal RNA
Source: RNAcentral